CCCUCUCUCUCUGUCCGUCCCUCUCUCUCUCUCUCUCUGUCCGUCUCUCUCUCUCUGUCCGUCCCUCUCUCUCUCUCUCUGUCCGUCCCUCUCUCUCUCUGUCCGUCUCUCUCUCUCUCUGUCCGUCCCUCUCUCUCUCUGUCCCUCUCUCUUUCUAUCCGUCCCUCUCUCUGUCCGUCCCUCUCUCUCUCUCUGUCCGUCCCUCUCUCUCUCUCUGUCCGUCCCUCCCUCUCUCUGUCUGUCCUCCCUCUCUCUCUCUCUGUCGUCCCUCCUCUCUCUCUGUCCGUCCCUCCCUCUCUCUCUCUGUCCGUCCCUCCCUCUCUCUCUGUCAGUCCUCCCUCUCUCUCUGUCGGUCCCUCCCUCUCUCUCUCUGUCCGUCCACUCCCUCUCUCUCUCUGUCCGUCCCUCCCUCUCUCUCUCUGUCCGUCCCUCCCUCUCUCUC
This is a long non-coding RNA of Oncorhynchus tshawytscha (Chinook salmon), 442 nucleotides long. The record is from Ensembl. Lineage: Eukaryota; Metazoa; Chordata; Actinopteri; Salmoniformes; Salmonidae.